ACUCGCUUUCAAAUAGAUAAAGGGCAUUAUUGCACAUGAACCUUCGUCGCCAAGCAAGGUUUAGCAGAAGUUAUUUUUGUUUUACUAAUACCUAGCAAUCAAAUAGCCUAACCCAGGAGCAAUGGUAUACUGCCCGAGGUGUUGGCUGCACCAUGGAAUAAGGGUUCUUAAUCUUGUGGCCAACUUCUUUGGCAUGGGCAUGAUUGUUUACUCCCUCUGGUUGCUGAAAUUAUGGAGGGAAGGACUUGUAGAAGAAGGUGCCUCAUCAUCAUCUUUACCUAGACCUUGGUUCAUCUACGCAUUUCUAGGGCUAGGCAUCGUUGCCUGCUUUAAUGCACUCAUUGGGCACAUGGUAUCUAAUUGUAUCAAUACAAUUGCUCUCUCCAUUGUAUCCUUCUAUAUAUGCAUGGUGUGAAACCAUCUCUUGGAUAUAAGCUAUUUGGGGAAUCCUAUUAUCACUUCCACAGAUUUCAUGUUAGCAGGUUCUCAAAAUAAAUCUUGAACAAUUUUCUGGGUUCAGAUGAAAUUAAUGAAUGAAUGGGAAACCAUCAUGAAUCUGCUCUCAACUAAUUGGAUCUGUAGAGAAUCUGUUUUCUUUAAAUGUUUCCAUUAACAGAUGUUUAUUAUAUAUUCAAACAAAGGAAAUAUUGCACAUUCACAAUCUUAAAUGCUUCUCGGUGGACUCAAUUUGCACAACUGUGUCAUUUCCAUGUAUCUAGAUGGGAAUAGCAUUAAGAACAUACUGACAUUUCACCUAAAUGCAUGUCGCCUGAUCAGCAUUACAACUAUGGUAGCACAGGUGAGUGUGUUGGUGCUGGAUAUUGUUUUGUGGGCUUUGGGACCCCCACCAAGGAAUCAUUGUGGAAGCCCUGCAACACCCAACUUGAGAUGCUCCUUUCUAGUGUUGAGAUCCGACUCACCGCCAGCUCUCCCAGCUUCAGCCCCAGUCUUUGCAAGGAGAAUCCAGUCUUCAAGCAGUGCUGCUUGCUGAUUCUGGCCAACAAAGAAACCAUUUAUUUCAAGUUGGAUAGGGACAGAUGCUACAGUCUACAUAAGACUAACCUAAGUUUUAAAAAUCAUAUAAUCCAUAACUUUUAGAAGACAAAACUCUCUGCUUGCAAACAUUGCAUGUCACCUUAGCAAAUGGUGUUUGCUGAGCCAUGGGCUUGUCACAAUUUGCACCAAUUAGCAGCUCAGACUUUUUUCUGUGGUGCCACCACAAAGUAAUAUUUUCCAUUCAUUCU
This is a non-coding RNA of Phoenix dactylifera (date palm), 1244 nucleotides long. Lineage: Eukaryota; Viridiplantae; Streptophyta; Magnoliopsida; Arecales; Arecaceae. The record is from RefSeq and is a predicted model, not a curated record.